AAUGAACGCUGGCGGCAGGCCUAACACAUGCAAGUCGAACGGAUCCUUCGGGAUUAGUGGCGGACGGGUGAGUAACGCGUGGGAACAUACCCUUUGGUACGGAAUAGCCUCGGGAAACUGGGAGUAAUACCGUAUGUGGUCGAGAGACGAAAGAUUUAUCGCCAAAGGAUUGGCCCGCGUUGGAUUAGGUAGUUGGUAGGGUAAUGGCCUACCAAGCCGACGAUCCAUAGCGGGUGUGAGAGGAUGAUCAGCCACACUGGGACUGAGACACGGCCCAGACUCCUACGGGAGGCAGCAGUGGGGAAUCUUAGACAAUGGGGGAAACCCUGAUCUAGCCAUGCCGCGUGAUCGAUGAAGGCCUUAGGGCUGUAAAGAUCUUUCAGGUGGGAAGAUAAUGACUGUACCACCAGAAGAAGCCCCGGCUAACUCUGUGCCAGCCGCCGCGGUAA
RNAcentral lists this ribosomal RNA (449 nucleotides) under uncultured bacterium. RNAcentral describes it as "partial 16S ribosomal RNA". It matches the Rfam family "Bacterial small subunit ribosomal RNA", at positions 29 to 523 of the family's 1533-position model. The record is from RNAcentral.